This 523-nucleotide ribosomal RNA is filed under the name Bifidobacterium longum subsp. suillum. Its description in RNAcentral is "bacterial SSU rRNA". It matches the Rfam family "Bacterial small subunit ribosomal RNA", at positions 167 to 705 of the family's 1533-position model. Lineage: Bacteria; Bacillati; Actinomycetota; Actinomycetes; Bifidobacteriales; Bifidobacteriaceae. The record is from RNAcentral.
UGCCGGAUGCUCCAGUUGAUCGCAUGGUCUUCUGGGAAAGCUUUCGCGGUAUGGGAUGGGGUCGCGUCCUAUCAGCUUGACGGCGGGGUAACGGCCCACCGUGGCUUCGACGGGUAGCCGGCCUGAGAGGGCGACCGGCCACAUUGGGACUGAGAUACGGCCCAGACUCCUACGGGAGGCAGCAGUGGGGAAUAUUGCACAAUGGGCGCAAGCCUGAUGCAGCGACGCCGCGUGAGGGAUGGAGGCCUUCGGGUUGUAAACCUCUUUUAUCGGGGAGCAAGCGAGAGUGAGUUUACCCGUUGAAUAAGCACCGGCUAACUACGUGCCAGCAGCCGCGGUAAUACGUAGGGUGCAAGCGUUAUCCGGAAUUAUUGGGCGUAAAGGGCUCGUAGGCGGUUCGUCGCGUCCGGUGUGAAAGUCCAUCGCUUAACGGUGGAUCCGCGCCGGGUACGGGCGGGCUUGAGUGCGGUAGGGGAGACUGGAAUUCCCGGUGUAACGGUGGAAUGUGUAGAUAUCGGAAAAG